GAUGAACGCUGGCGGCGUGCCUAAUACAUGCAAGUCGAGCGACCAGACGAGGAGCUUGCUCCUCUGACGUUAGCGGCUGACGGGUGAGUAACACGUGGAUCACCUACCUCUAUGACUGGGAUAACUUCGGGAAACCGGAUCUACUACCGGAUAACAUGUUGAACCGCAUGGUUCAACAGUGAAUGACGGUCUUGCUGUCACUUAUAGAUGGAUCCGCGCCGCAUUAGCUAGUUGGUAAGGUAACGGCUUACCAAGGCAACGAUGCGUAGCCGACCUGAGAGGGUGAUCAGCCACACUGGAACUGAGACACGGUCCAGACUCCUACGGGAGGCAGCAGUAGGGAAUAUUCCGCAAUGGGCGAAAGCCUGACGGAGCAACGCCGCGUGAGUGAAGAAGGUCUUCGGAUCGUAAAACUCUGUUAUUAGGGAAGAACAAAUGUGGAAGUAACUAUGCACGUCUUGACGGUACCUAAUCAGAAAGCAACGGCUAACUACGUG
Molecule: ribosomal RNA, 497 nt
Filed under: uncultured bacterium
Lineage: Bacteria
Description: partial 16S ribosomal RNA
Rfam family: Bacterial small subunit ribosomal RNA
Source: RNAcentral